GACGAACGCUGGCGGCGUGCUUAACACAUGCAAGUCGAACGGUAAGGCCCUUCGGGGUACACGAGUGGCGAACGGGUGAGUAACACGUGGGUGAUCUGCCCUGCACUUCGGGAUAAGCCUGGGAAACUGGGUCUAAUACCGGAUAGGACCCUGGGAUGCAUGUCCUGGGGUGGAAAGCUUUUGCGGGGUGGGAUGGGCCCGCGGCCUAUCAGCUUGUGGGUGGGGUGAUGGCCUACCAAGGCGACGACGGGUAGCCGGCCUGAGAGGGUGACCGGCCACACUGGGACUGAGUUACGGCCCAGACUCCUACGGGAGGCAGCAUUGGGGAAUAUUGCACAAUGGGGGCAGGCCUGAUGCAGCGACGCCGCGUGGGGGAUGACGGCCUUCGGGUUGUAACCUCUUUCAGCCCCGACGAAGCGCAAGUGACGGUAGGUGCAGAAGAAGGACCGGCCAACUACGUGCCGCAGCCGCAGUAA
Molecule: ribosomal RNA, 476 nt
Filed under: uncultured bacterium
Lineage: Bacteria
Description: partial 16S ribosomal RNA
Rfam family: Bacterial small subunit ribosomal RNA
Source: RNAcentral